GAUGAACGCUGGCGGCGUGCCUAACACAUGCAAGUCGAACGAAGCGCUUUUUUGGAAGCUUUUCGGAGCGGAAGAGGAAGCGACUGAGUGGCGGACGGGUGAGUAACGCGUGGGCAACCUACCCCACACAGGGGGACAACAGCUGGAAACGGCUGCUAAUACCGCAUAGGCGCACAGCUUCGCAUGAAGGAGUGUGGAAAGCGAUAGCGGUGUGGGAUGGGCCCGCGUCUGAUUAGCUGGUUGGUGAGGCAGAGGCUCACCAAGGCGACGAUCAGUAGCCGGCCUGAGAGGGCGGACGGCCACAUUGGGACUGAGACACGGCCCAG
Molecule: ribosomal RNA, 326 nt
Filed under: uncultured bacterium
Lineage: Bacteria
Description: bacterial SSU rRNA
Rfam family: Bacterial small subunit ribosomal RNA
Source: RNAcentral